RNAcentral lists this ribosomal RNA (619 nucleotides) under uncultured cyanobacterium. RNAcentral's name for it is "bacterial SSU rRNA". It matches the Rfam family "Bacterial small subunit ribosomal RNA", at positions 122 to 770 of the family's 1533-position model. The record is from RNAcentral. Lineage: Bacteria; Bacillati; Cyanobacteriota.
GAAUCUGCCUUUAGGUCCGGGACAACCACUGGAAACGGUGGCUAAUACCGGAUGUGCCGCAACGUGAAAGGGGAAACCCGCCUGAAGAUGAGCUCGCGUCUGAUUAGCUAGUUGGUGAGGUAAAGGCUCACCAAGGCGACGAUCAGUAGCUGGUCUGAGAGGAUGACCAGCCACACUGGGACUGAGACACGGCCCAGACUCCUACGGGAGGCAGCAGUGGGGAAUUUUCCGCAAUGGGCGAAAGCCUGACGGAGCAAGACCGCGUGAGGGAAGAAGGCUCUUGGGUCGUAAACCUCUUUUAUCAGGGAAGAACAAAAUGACGGUACCUGAAGAAUCAGCCUCGGCUAACUCCGUGCCAGCAGCCGCGGUAAUACGGAGGAGGCAAGCGUUAUCCGGAAUUAUUGGGCGUAAAGCGUCCGCAGGUGGCUUAUCAAGUCUGCUGUCAAAGAGUGGGGCUUAACCCCAUUAAGGCAGUGGAAACUGAGAAGCUAGAGUGCCGUAGGGGUAGAGGGAAUUCCCGGUGUAGCGGUGAAAUGCGUAGAGAUUGGGAAGAACACCGGUGGCGAAAGCGCUCUGCUGGACCACAACUGACACUCACAGGACGAAAGCUAGGGGAGCG